RNAcentral lists this ribosomal RNA (197 nucleotides) under Pseudomonas aeruginosa. RNAcentral describes it as "partial 16S ribosomal RNA". The stretch from base 41 to 197 matches the Rfam family "Bacterial small subunit ribosomal RNA", at positions 1 to 157 of the family's 1533-position model. Lineage: Bacteria; Pseudomonadati; Pseudomonadota; Gammaproteobacteria; Pseudomonadales; Pseudomonadaceae. The record is from RNAcentral.
UGAGCCAAGUUUAGGGUUUUCUCAAAACCCAAGCAGUAUUGAACUGAAGAGUUUGAUCAUGGCUCAGAUUGAACGCUGGCGGCAGGCCUAACACAUGCAAGUCGAGCGGAUGAAGGGAGCUUGCUCCYGGAUUCAGCGGCGGACGGGUGAGUAAUGCCUAGGAAUCUGCCUGGUAGUGGGGGAUAACGUCCGGAAAC